GAAAGUGGCGCACGGGUGCGUAACGCGUAUGCAACCUACCUUAUCAGGGGGAUAGCCCGAAGAAAUUCGGAUUAACACCGAAGAAAAACACAGGAUAGCAUUAUCUAAUGAUCAAAUAUUUAUAGGAUUGAGAUGGGCAUGCGUGUCAUUAGUUAGUUGGCGAGGUAACGGCUCACCAAGACCACGAUGACUAGGGGAUCUGAGAGGAUGACCCCCCACACUGGUACUGAGACACGGACCAGACUCCUACGGGAGGCAGCAGUAAGGAAUAUUGGUCAAUGGAGGCAACUCUGAACCAGCCAUGCCGCGUGCAGGAAGACAGCCCUCUGGGUCGUAAACUGCUUUUAUUCGGGAAUAAACCUACUUACGUGUAAGUAGCUGAAUGUACCGAAGGAAUAAGGAUCGGCUAACUCCGUGCCAGCAGCCGCGGUAAUACGGAGGAUCCAAGCGUUAUCCGGAUUUAUUGGGUUUAAAGGGUGCGUAGGCGGCUUGUUAAGUCAGGGGUGAAAGACGGUGGCUCAACCAUCGCAGUGCCCUUGAUACUGAUGAGCUUGAAUACACUAGAGGUAGGCGGAAUGUGACAAGUAGCGGUGAAAUGCAUAGAUAUGUCACAGAACACCGAUUGCGAAGGCAGCUUACUAUGGUGUCAUUGACGCUGAGGCACGAAAGCGUGGGGAUCAAACAGGAUUAGAUACCCUGGUAGUCCACGCCCUAAACGAUGAAUACUCGCUGUUAGCGAUACACAGUUAGCGGCUAAGCGAAAGCGUUAAGUAUUCCACCUGGGGAGUACGGUCGCAAGAUUGAAACUCAAAGGAAUUGACGGGGGCCCGCACAAGCGGAGGAGCAUGUGGUUUAAUUCGAUGAUACGCGAGGAACCUUACCCGGGCUUGAAAGUUAGUGAAUCAUUUAGAGAUAGAUGAGUGAGCAAUCACACGAAACUAGGUGCUGCAUGGCUGUCGUCAGCUCGUGCCGUGAGGUGU
RNAcentral lists this ribosomal RNA (980 nucleotides) under Pedobacter sp. Its description in RNAcentral is "bacterial SSU rRNA". It matches the Rfam family "Bacterial small subunit ribosomal RNA", at positions 91 to 1075 of the family's 1533-position model. Lineage: Bacteria; Pseudomonadati; Bacteroidota; Sphingobacteriia; Sphingobacteriales; Sphingobacteriaceae. The record is from RNAcentral.